This is a transfer RNA of Ovis aries (sheep), 73 nucleotides long. It matches the Rfam family "tRNA". Rfam says of the family: Transfer RNA (tRNA) molecules are approximately 80 nucleotides in length. Their secondary structure includes four short double-helical elements and three loops (D, anti-codon, and T loops). NCBI's taxonomy places the organism in Eukaryota, Metazoa, Chordata, Mammalia, Artiodactyla, Bovidae. The record is from Rfam.
UCCCUGGUGGUCCAGGGGUUGGGACUCUGUGCUUCCAACGCAGGGGGCCUGGGUUCGGAUCCUGGGCAGGGAA